Molecule: ribosomal RNA, 254 nt
Filed under: uncultured bacterium
Lineage: Bacteria
Description: partial 16S ribosomal RNA
Rfam family: Bacterial small subunit ribosomal RNA
Source: RNAcentral
UACGUAGGGACCAAGCGUUGUCCGGAAUCAUUGGGCGUAAAGCGCGCGUAGGUGGCUUCGUAAGUCCGUUGUGAAAGUCAAAGGCUCAACCUUUGAACGCCGAUGGAUACUGCCGGGCUAGAGUCCGGAAGAGGCGAGUGGAAUUCCUGGUGUAGCGGUGGAAUGGCGCAGAUAUCAGGAGGAACACCGGUGGUGUAGACGGCUUUCUGGACCGUAACUGACGCUGAGACACGAAAGCGUGGGUAGCAAACAGG